UCGUGAUCAAGCUGGUAUGUUUUUGAAUCUGCGUCCGACGGACAAUUUUAUUUUGAUCUUUCCUUUUGCAGCAAUACCCGAGCAGGGGUAAAUAACACGGGAAUACCAAAUUUUGGUAUUACUUGGGCAAAUGACAGCGACCAAAAUGUGCCCUUGGUUGCCCAGUAAUAGAUGGUAAAAUACCAUGAAAUCAUACCAAAAGCUUGUAUGUGGAAGGGCACAACAAUACCAUACCAUGUUAUUCCAAAGGUAAAAUAAUACCACAAAAUAAAAUCAUUUCAAUACCAAGUUGAGGUCUUCUGGAUUUUUGAACAUUGCUUGAAUACCAAAACUUGGUAUUGUCAUGGUUUUAAUUUUAGGUAUUCCCGCGCCCUUGGAAAAUCAUAUUUUGGUAUUCCUGUGGUCUUCCACAAACAUGAUAUUGGUUUGAUUUCAUGGUAUUUUACCAUCUAUUACUGGGCAACCAAGAGCACAUUUUGGUCGCUGGUAUUUGCACAAGUAAUACCAAAAUUUGUUAUUUUCAUACCAUUUUUAGUGCAGCAGUUGCAGUUAGUGAAAAAAACGUAAAUGAUCCUUAUGCAACAACGAAAUCUACUCACCUGAUGAUUCCAUGUUGUUUUUAGUGAUAUUCUUCACCACACCGAAUGCAUUUGUCAUUGAUGAACGGCUGUACUUGAAGUUCUUGAAGCUUCUGAAAAUUAACAAGAUUGAAAAAUAAGUAUUAUUAAAAUGAAACUGGAUUGAAAUUCACCAAAAUUCAAUAAUCUGUUGAUUGACUCGUUUUUCAAAGUAUUUGGUUAUCCCAACUUAGAAAAAAUUCAACGUUUUUGAAAAAAAUAUUAGUGGGUACAUCACAAAAAAAAUUUAAAUCAGCUUUAACAUUUUUGGGUUUCAAGUCAAGUUAGCGCAAAAUUAAUUAUCUCGUCAAAAAUUUAAAAAAAUCCAUAGUUUCAGAGAAAAUUGAUGAAACCUUUCAAUACCAAAAUAAUACCAAAAUGUGGCAUCCUGACUUAGAAAUUUUUCCACAAUGUCAAGUCAUUUCUGUAGGGGGUAUAACAAAAAUGUUUAAAAUCAAGUUUGAAAUUUCCGGUUUUCAAUGAAAGCAUUCGCUUUGAGACCUCGUUUUAGCGCAAAAUUAAUUAUUUUGUCAAAAUUGGUCAAAAUUUUCCCAUAGUUUGAGAGGAAUUUGAUAAAACACUUUAAUACCAAAAUAAUACCAAAAUGUGCCAUCCUGACUUAGAAAAUUUUCCACAAUUUCAAGUCAUUUCUGUAGGGGGUAUAUCAAAAAUGUUUAAAAUCAAGUCUGAAAUUUUCGGUUUUCAAUGAAAGCAUUCGCUUUUAGACAUCAUUUUAGCGCAAAAUUAAUUAUUUUGUCAAAAUUGGUCAACAUUUUCCCAUAGUUUCAGAGGAAAUUGAUAAAACACCUUAAUACCAAAAUAAUACCAAAAUGUGCCAUCCUGACUUAGAAAAUUUUCCACAAUUUUAAGUCAUUUCUGUAGGGGGUAUAUCAAAAAUGUUUAAAAUCAAGUUUGAAAUUUCCGGUUUUCAAUGAAAGCAUUCGCUUUGAGACAUCAUUUUAGCGCAAAAUUAAUUAUUUUGUCAAAAUUGGUCAAAAUUUUCCCAUAGUUUCAGAGGAAUUUGAUAAAACACUUUAAUACUAAAAUAAUACCAAAAUGUGCCAUCCUGACUUAGAAAAUUUUCCACAAUUUUAAGUCAUUUCUGUAGGGGGUAUAUCAAAAAUGUUUAAAAUCAAGUUUGAAAUUUCCGGUUUUCAAUGAAAGCAUUCGCUUUGAGAAAUCAUUUUAGCGCAAAAUUAAUUAUUUUGUCAAAAUUGGUCAAAAUUUUCCCAUAGUUUCAGAGGAAUUUGGUAAAACACUUUAAUACCAAAAUAAUACCAAAAUGUGGUGUUCGACCAUUGACAAAUUCUGCAAUUUUGCAAUAUCAAAAUAAUACCUUAAAUUGGUAUGAUACCACAUUUUGCUCUUGCAUAAUCCUUAAGACAAAUUUUUAAGGGUCCAGGAAUACCAAAAUUUGGUAUUGAUACCAGAGAAAGGUAUUAUUACGCAUUUCCCUUGUUAUUUACCCAUGCUCGGGUAGUCGUAGUCGGCGAUCAGCACUUUGUCCUAGGGCGGUCCUGGAACGCCGGUAAAACCGUGAAAAGUUGGCGUCAAGUUACGGCCAACGUCUUGUCAAACAACGGCCUCCGCGUUGGAGGAAAUGUUCCGCAAAUCGAAUAGGAUCUGAAGAGCAUCUUUUCCAGCACGCCGAAUCCGACGGUCCGUCGGUCAGCUGGUUCAACACAGUCGAUCACAAGGGCCAACGAUCUCGAGGCGUCAUCACUGUAAAGACUGAACCUUCCCCCUCCGAACCAUUUGCAGCUGUCCUCCAAUCCGAGCGUCGCGUCCGCGACUAGCAGCUGCACCAGUGACAAAUCGUCCCCGAUACGAUCGACUUCGUUCAGUACGACGACCAGAGGUAGCGCCAUCAGUCACGACGAUCACCAGCUCUGCCGGAAGCGUUGGAGGAGUAAACAAUCCGUAUGCCCAACCGGGCUGUCCCAUCAAGGACGACGAAGAUUUGCUGGAUUCGUUCAAGUAGCCUGAGAACCGUUAGCGGCAGGAGAUUGAAAAGGACAAGAAGCUCUUGGAGCAAAAUGCGACGUGCAACAGCACCUGGAACAUGCGCCAGCUGCGGCAGCAGUACAAAAAUCCACACUGGGGCACCACAGCUGCUGAAUCCAUGCUACUGUCUGAGUGAUGAGUCCGACAGGGAUGAGGGCAAUUCGGUGCGGAUGAUGAAGGCGAAGAAGGUCAACUGGGGUGGAGCGACGACGACGAAUGCGGGUGGUAAAGUGACAUCGGUCAAUCCAGGGUUGGCGGCUGAGUCGAGCGAAAACAGCAACACAAGCUGUAUGAGUUCCAACACAAGCCUAAUUCCGCACUCAUUCUCCGUGGGGGAGAUCUGGAAGAUCCGCACCAACCUUAAGUCGUCCAAUCUACCUCAACGAUUUCCGGCAGCAAAAGGCAGCAGCAGGAAAACGCUGAUCGCGGUCGCGCCAGGGCAACAAAUGCUCCUCCAGCGUGAGCAGAGACCAGGAGAUUACGGCCACUUGCAACGAGACGCCCAAGCCGGCCGCUGGAGCUGAAAAAGAUGGUGCUGUUGAUUACGCCGAUGGUACCGGUACAGCUGCCGGAGGUUCGGAGUGACGAAGACGACGGGGAUCCGAGUCCACCGGCCACAGGGUUUCAGCGGCCAAUUCGCUGACGAGGAAGCAUGCGACAGCUCAUUUUGGCAACCGGAAAGUACCGUGCGAACUAGAUCCGGCUCCGAUCGGCAAGAACGCAUCCGCCUGGAUAGAGGAAAUGUUCCAGGCCAUGAUCCGAGGUGAUGACCGAAAGUGGCAAACAGUUUGUAGCGUACCUGUCCAUGAAGGAACGCGUGAGAAGUGCGUCACGACCUGGUCGAAGAAACGCUUUCCGAGGACGACAAGGAGUACCAAUACUACAGCCUUCAACAAUCUUAUUUAAGGACACAUGACUAACUAGUUCUAACUACUAACAAUUCUAUCCCUUUCACAGAAGACAAAUUCUCCGCCGACCAGACGCCUGCUCCAUCCUAGUGGAACUCGCACAUCACCGACUCCCUGCCCGCCGCCAAGAACAGCUUCCAGACCACGCACGGUCUCGUCCAGACGCAUCCGUCCUUUGGAAAGACCGGCCCAUCAGCCCUCCCACUAACCGUGGGACCACGAGCAAGCAGCAGUCCACAGUUGGCCAGCGGGAUCCCAUCGAUCGCCAACCCGAACUCCCGGUCACCGUUCCGUCAGCCGUACUUUAGCACCAGUGAUACCCCGAACUCCGCCGCAAUCCCAGCUUGUGCGCCCGGACGAGUGUGCCCGAGCAGGCCGCGAAGGAAAACCACCGAGGAUCGGCUACUAUCAAUUUACCGUCGAGGACUACACCGUGCUGGAAGCUGCAGGCAGGCCGAGGAGGUCGGUCGGAGCGAUCAAAGCGAUUUGAUUCCAAGCUGGUGGACACGUACUUCGAUGAUGUUGGUGGAAUGGCCAAAAUUUUGCGCGAGUUUUUGCUGCACGUGAAGCACUCGGAGUGCCGCCUCCGCGUGGAUUUGUGCUCGGGGCAGACGUUGCUUGCGCACGCUAUCGCUAGUCAGCUUAAGAUUGGACUGGCCACAAAGUUGGUCGCGGAGGUUUCCAGCGAGUUGUAGCCAGGUAUCCGGGAGGUGUUCAAGCAGGCAGCGAUCCUCUCGCCGUGCCUACUUUUCAUCGACGAGAACAACGCCAUAUCGGCGAACCACGUCACCGCGCAGGAGGACAUUGAACUAAGAGUCGUUGCCCAGCUGCUAAGUAGCUUGCACGGCGCAAAUCGAAAGCGGUGACGAGGUGCCACCAACUGGCGGGAUGCGCUUGAACCGGCCCUGCGUCGCGUCGGUCGCUUUGACUAGAAAAUCUCGCUCGGAAUUCAGAAGCGCGAAGCGCGCUCAGAUUCGCGAACGCCAACAGCUGCUGGUCGAGCGUCGCAAGACGGAUCAGGAUCGACUCAAGCAACUUGCCAAGAAGGUCGUCAUCGAUGACAAAGUCAGCGACGGAAUCGGCGAGCCAGCAUCAGUCCACAGUUGGUCAGCGGAUUUCCAUCAAUCGCAAACCCGAACCCUCGGUCACCGUUCCGUCAUCUGGAUUUCAGCACCAGUGUCACCGCCGAACUCCGCAGCAAUCCCAGCCUGUCCGCCCGGACGAGAGUGCCUGAGCUUGCCGUCGAGUACUACACCGUCCUGAGAGCGCAGGCAAAGGGGGCCACAAGGUUGGUCGCGGGGGUUUCCGGCAAGUCGGAACAACGCAUCCAGGACAUCCAGGAGGUGUUCAAUCAGGCAGCGGUCCUCUCGCCGUGCCUACUCUUCUUCGACGAUAUCAACGCCAUCUCGGCGAACCGCGUCACCGCGCAGAAGGACAUGGAACGACGAAUCGUUGCGCAGCUGCUAUGCAGCUUGGACGGCCUUUGCGAAUCGAAGAAGGUGACAAGGUGCUCCCAACCGGCGGGAUGCGCUCGACCCGGCCCUGCGUCGCUCCGGUAACUUUGAACAGGAAAUCUGGCUCGAAACUCCGGAGCGCGAAGCGCGCGUUUGGAUUCUGAAAAUCACCAAACUCGAGCAGACAAUCGACUACGACGAACUCGCCGGUUACGUCGGAGCAGCUCUGCUGGCGCUGGUCACCCGCACGGCCGCGAACGCUAACAGCUGCUGGUCGAGGCCAUUCGCGAGCCUUACCUGGAAAUCCUGCAUCGCAAAGCAGAGCAGGAAUUACUCAAGCAACUUGUUACGAAGGUCGUCGACGAUGACGAAGUCAUGGAGGGGAGGAAUCAGUCAAGAGUAUGCUCAACGGAUGAUGACGUGGUUACGCUGGAUGAUGACGUUGAGGAGGUUGUGAACCUGACAAAGAGGAAGAAAAAUCUUCCAAAGCAGAGAAGACAACCG
This is a long non-coding RNA of Culex pipiens pallens (northern house mosquito), 5487 nucleotides long. RefSeq lists it as uncharacterized. The record is from RefSeq and is a predicted model, not a curated record. NCBI's taxonomy places the organism in Eukaryota, Metazoa, Arthropoda, Insecta, Diptera, Culicidae. The transcript is spliced from 3 exons.